AACGACGCUGGCGGCAUGCCUAACACAUGCAAGUCGAACGAACCCUUCGGGGUUAGUGGCGCACGGGUGCGUAACGCGUGGGGAUCUGCCCUUUGCUUCGGUAUAACAGUUAGAAAUGACUGCUAAUACCGGACGAUGUCGAAAGACCAAAGAUUUAUCGGCAAAGGAUGAACCCGCGUAGGAUUAGCUAGUUGGUAGGGUAAAGGCCUACCAAGGCGACGAUCCUUAGCUGGUCUGAGAGGAUGAUCAGCCACACUGGGACUGAGACACGGCCCAGACUCCUACGGGAGGCAGCAGUGGGGAAUAUUGGACAAUGGGCGAAAGCCUGAUCCAGCAAUGCCGCGUGAGUGAUGAAGGCCUUCGGGUUGUAAAGCUCUUUUACCAGGGAUGAUAAUGACAGUACCUGGAGAAUAAGCUCCGGCUAACUCCGUG
RNAcentral lists this ribosomal RNA (432 nucleotides) under uncultured bacterium. RNAcentral's name for it is "bacterial SSU rRNA". It matches the Rfam family "Bacterial small subunit ribosomal RNA", at positions 32 to 507 of the family's 1533-position model. The record is from RNAcentral.